Pelobates cultripes (western spadefoot toad) is the source of this 461-nucleotide non-coding RNA. NCBI's taxonomy places the organism in Eukaryota, Metazoa, Chordata, Amphibia, Anura, Pelobatidae. The record is from the annotation of a GenBank genome assembly.
GGGGUAACCAAGGAGGAAUAGAUAGGAACACUUGUUUCAACUGUGGACAAUAUGGCCACUGGAGGAAUGAGUGUCCACAUCCCAGGAAACCCCAGGAAACCCCACACACCCCAACAACCCCACAAUUCUCAAAAUAUGCCCUGUAGGCAAGAACAACACCAGACCCACUCCCAACACCACUGGCCAGCAUAUCGCUUAGUUCAGGACUUUAGAGCCCUGAAUAGUUUAAUUGUGCCCAUUUCACCCAUUGUCCCUGAUGUGACAUCCCUCAUUACAGCCAUUCCACAUGAUGCCACUUGCUUCACUGUCAUUGAUUUAAGUAAUGCAUUUUUUUUCUAUACCUAUUGAUCAAGAGACACAGCUACUUAUGGUUUUUACUUUUUGAAGGCUGUCAGUUUACCUGGACACGCUUACCCAAGGCUAUGUGGAUUCCCCAGCUGUUUAUUCGUUGGUACUCCAAC